Molecule: ribosomal RNA, 785 nt
Filed under: uncultured Neocallimastigales
Lineage: Eukaryota; Fungi; Neocallimastigomycota; Neocallimastigomycetes; Neocallimastigales
Description: partial large subunit ribosomal RNA
Rfam family: Eukaryotic large subunit ribosomal RNA
Source: RNAcentral
UAUCUCUGUAGAGUCUGCAUAUCAAUAAGCGGAGGAAAAGAAACUAACAAGGAUUCCCUUAGUGAACGGCGAGUGAAGCGGGAAGAGCUCAAAUUUGAAAUCUUCAAGGUUUUACCUUGACGAAUUGUAGUUUAAAGAAGUGUUUUCUGUUAGAUGAGUUCGGUAAAAGUUCCUUUGGAAUAGGGACAUCAUAGAGGGUGAGAAUCCCGUAUUUGACCGUUAUUAUUCUAGCUUUGUGAUACACUUUCAAAGAGUCGGAUUGUUUGGGAAUGCAGUCCAAAAUGGGUGGUAAAUUUCAUCUAAAGCUAAAUAUUGGCGAGAGACCGAUAGCGAACAAGGUACCGUGAGGGAAAGAUGAAAAGAACUUUGAAAAGAGAGUUAAACAGUACGUGAAAUUGUCAAAAGGGAAGCGUUUGACACCAGUGUUGUUUUUCUCGAAAAUCAAUUAAGAAUGGCUUGAUUUUGUGUUGUAUUGACCUUAUCAGCUUUCUGCACUUUUUUUCGAGUCUUUCUUAAUGCACUUUUUCGGUUAACAAGUCAACAUCAAUUUCUUUUGUUGUAAAAGAGUAUUCGGAAGGUGGCUUUCUUUUCGGAGAAAGUGUUUAUAGCCCUAUACUUCUACAAUCGGAGAGAUUGAGGUCUGCAGCGUAGAUCCUUCGGGGUUAGAUACAUUUGUGCUAAGUUGUAGCUUUUCAUAGACAACUUGUUGACUAUGUUUAGUCAUGCGGCUUACUCGCUUAUGCUAUUUUACCUACGCUUAGGAUGUUGAAGAUGUAGCACAUCAU